UACAGAGGAUGCAAGCGUUAUCCGGAAUGAUUGGGCGUAAAGCGUCUGUAGGUGGCUUUUUAAGUCCGCCGUCAAAUCCCAGGGCUCAACUCUGGACAGGCGGUGGAAACUACCAAGCUGGAGUACGGUAGGGGCAGAGGGAAUUUCCGGUGGAGCGGUGAAAUGCGUAGAGAUCGGAAAGAACACCAACGGCGAAAGCGGCUCACUGGACCGCAACUGACGCUGAGGCGCGAAAGCUAGGGGAGCAAACAGG
Molecule: ribosomal RNA, 253 nt
Filed under: uncultured bacterium
Lineage: Bacteria
Description: partial 16S ribosomal RNA
Rfam family: Bacterial small subunit ribosomal RNA
Source: RNAcentral